RNAcentral lists this long non-coding RNA (35709 nucleotides) under Hordeum vulgare. Its description in RNAcentral is "long non-coding RNA (HVUL_LNC012891)". The record is from RNAcentral. Lineage: Eukaryota; Viridiplantae; Streptophyta; Magnoliopsida; Poales; Poaceae.
UGAGAUCCCGCUUGGAAGAAGAAUGCCUCCGUGAAGCAGACGAACCGACGUAGUCGAACGGGUCCUCACAUCCGACACGCUUGCGGAACUCUAUCGAGACGGAGCAAACCGGAAACACAAAUCAACACACGGAAUUCACCACACGAUGCACAACACAAAUGAUGCAUGAACAACUGAAUACAUGCAAGUCACGGCAUGACAAAUCACACAAUCAAACACUACACAUUAAGUGAAGUUCAAUAUGCAACGGGUUGCAUAUUGACGAAACUCCACGUUAGUUAUUUAGUUCUAUCCCGAUUAGGUACUCGGCAAUAUUAAAAGGUUGUUAACAUGGCAAGGGGGUGAAGCACAAAUUAAUCUACCUCGCUAGGCAUUUUAAAUUAGGCCGGAAACGACAUAUAGCAUCUCCGAAAUGACCCCACGUGUUAAAUCUUAAUUUUGUCCAGAUUUUUCCUAAUCACAUUUUAGGUUUGUUAAACGGCAAACAAAGUGGUUCACGUGAUGCUAUGCGACGUGCUGGUCCAUUUACAUAUAUGGCACACCUCCAACGGAGCUACGGACAAAUAGUUACGUCCUAAACCGUUUUCAACAUGUCGGCACGCAAACCGAUGCAAACAGCACGCUAACAACCUUAAAACAUGCAUGAGAGUUGGUUUUAGUGAAACUACAGAAAAUUCUAAGCAACUUAUAUGUUGAAAUCAUUUUAAUCCGAUGCACGGUUUAGAAACUACGCUCGUUUGAAAAACAACGCCUUUUUCUGAAAUUAACAAAAUCCCUGAGAAUUGGAAAAAUCACACGAUGUUAAAAAAAACACAGUGGACCGCAUUUCACCAUAGUGUAGUGGCCCAGGGCUGAAAUCGGCCCACAACAGCUGUGUGCAAGAGAGAAAAAAAAAGAAAAAAAACCACAACCAGCAAAAGAUUAAAGGCACCGAUGGGAUUUGAUCCCAUGACCUCCUGGACGAGGGAAAAAUACUCCAACCACUGCGCUAUUGUUGAGACUUUGGUGCAAGGUGGGUAUAUAAGUCAUAUGUAUCAAACUGAGGCUCUAAUCUAAUUAACACAAAAACAAAAUAGGCAUAUCUGGGAUUCGAACCCCAGAUCUCUGGGAUGUCCCGUUGGCACAAACCAGUUGACCUGUGCAUGCUCGAGUGAAAUAUUGCACGGUUAGCGCCAGAUGAACCAUACCGUGGGGCCAGCCUGACGAAACAGAAUCACGAAACAGAGAUAUCUCUGCUGCCAGGUCGGGGAUGCACGGGUUCAGUUCGUCAGGGACGAAUGGCUGGCGGCAUGGGCGAUGAGGAGGCGGUUCCGACAGGGCUCUUCGCCAACGGGCUAGGUAUCUCCGGUUGAGGGGGGCCCUUCGGACGUGUUGGCUGGGGACGCACACAUGGUCGGUCGAGGUCAGCUUCUGGGAUAUGCUUGGCGCUGUCGGCGCGGUCAACAGCCGAGCGAGCUGUUGCUGCUCGUUACCUGACGAACAGAAGCAGCAGCAAGAGUCUUGUGGAGCACAUCGUUAUCAUUCAGAUUUCUUAGUAUCUCAGGACGAAAGAUGUUCGUAAUUGCUUCAAUACUAGUAGUGGCGAGAUAACCCCGAUGUCCCCAGUACUGGUGCAGAUUGUUCGGGAGUACUGCCAUACUUUGUAUCGUUGUGAUCACGAGGGUCUGUUAUAGAUGAAGGUCCGAGAUUCUGGUCGUGUGUUGACGGAUGUGAUACAGGUGAUGGGUUAGUAUAGGAGUUGUGUGAUUAUUACUCCUUGUAUCCGUGUACCAGAUUGCAUGACCAGAUAUUUCGGGAAUUCAUAGGUGGGAAUUCAAGUAGUUACUUAUAGGACAAUCUUCCAGCAAAUGCAUGAUGUUAGGUUGGGGUUCGACAUCUAGUGGAUUCGUUUGUUCACGGUCGACUUACAGCGGUACACAUUGUGUCUUAAAGAGUCCUUGUAGCUUGCUACGACUCGAGGACGCUUCAUAUGUCGGGUGCACUGCCUUGCACUUGAUGGCUACUGUAAAAUCGAGCCCGUGCGAUCUUGUCCAUGAAAAUAUCGGACGAAAUCUUUCUCAUGAGUUUGUUCUGGCUUGUUUCGUAAGCCACACCCUUUGUUUUGUUGAACUAUGGUAAUUCAAGUUGCUUCGAUGUCAAGUGGUGAUUUCAGAUCUUUCCUAAUCUGUGUUCUCAUAUUUUUAUGGGAAUGCAAAUUCUUUGCUCAAUCCGAUCGUCGUAUCAAUUCCAUUCAACCGGUGUGCUUCUCUUCAGUGAAUUCGAUCCUCUCCAAUUUUUGCAAGAUCAUUCUCUCAUUUUAUUCCGAAGUUCAUCUCAUCUGUCCCAAGUCGUCUUUGUUUUUCCCCGCCCUCCCGCCCUUUUUCUUCGGUGAUUGGAUUUCAUCCAAGAGCAUUCAUUUCAGUGAUGCUUCCGCUAUCUCUUCUUUCUUUCGUAACCGGUGAUUCACCAUGAAGAUUCUCAGGAGCUUCAUGUUCAUCUUUAUUCAUUCUUGUCAUCUUUUCCGGUGAAUUCAAUUCAGUUGUCCAUGUUCAUCAUAUCCUUUUCAUCCUUGUAAUUAUUUCCUAUGUUGGAAAUUUUUAUCAGUCUAUUUUCUUGUUGUUAUUUCUCUCUAUUCUAUCCGGUGCGUUGAAGAUAUUUCAGAAGUUCUGCUUUUUAAUCCUUCACUUAUUUCGAGGGUCUCAUCUCAUCUAGUUUUCAUUGUACCGGUGCAAUAUCUCUCUUUCUAGCAUUCCUUUCAACGGUGGUUUCUUUGAGUGGGCCCAUAACCCACAGGUUCUUUCCCAGGAUCUUACCUGGCUCUUUUAAUCAUCUUCGGAGAUCUUUAAAUCUUUUCAACUAUGACGUAAGUAUGAUUUUCAUUAGUCAUAUCUCUUCUUCAAGAUCUAUUUCAAUUAAUUCAUUCUUUGGCUCAACCUUUCAUUCUUCUCUAUUCCGGAGUGUCUUAGUAAUUCUUGGUGGGUUCUCCUCCUCAUUCUCAGCUUGCUAUCCGAAGGAGUGGUUCUCUCAAUCUUGGUUCAUUCUCUUGGAUAUUCGUCAUUUCAGCUUUGUGCCAUCAUCUUAAUUGUUGUCAAUCAUGUGUAUUCCUUUCUCGCUAUCCGGUGCAUUGCUGAGUUGUUUUCAUUCUCGGUCCUCCGAAGGACAUCAUUUGAGAAGACUUCUUCGUUCUCAGCUUUCGUUCUCUAAUUCUUCUCCAUUGUUGUCUCUUCGUUCGUCUCUCGGUUAUCCGGUGCCUUGUUCAAGUUUUCUCUCACGUGGCUCAUGAUCUCUUCAUUCUCAGGUGUUUCCAUGCAUUCUUGGAAUUUCCCAUUCAGUUGUGAAUUCUUACCGGUGCGUCCUACAAUCAUGCCUCAAGUGGUGAUUAUCCCUCUGUCUCUUCAAGAUUAUUUCAAGAAUAAUAAGUUGUAUGCUAAAUCCGUUGCUUGUCAUCAUUUAAACUUGAUGAAGGAUAAGCAUAACAUAAUUCUUAUUCUUGUUCUUCCUUCUUCCAAGAGAUUUCAAUCCUUCUCCCGAAGUGACUCAUGAUAUCGAUUCUUUUCCCAGGUGCUUAUCUUUCUUUUCCGGAGUUCUAAGUUCUUUUAAGUAUCUAUUUGUGAUGCUUCAUCUAAAUCUUGGCAAGACCAUAAUCUUAUUCUGUUCUACCUUCAUGUCUUUGCAUCAUUCAUUUGUAUAUGGUGGUCCUUCUUGGUGGUUCAUCAAGGUUUCAAUCCAUUCUCAAGUGUUUUUUAAGAUUCUUGUUGGAGAACCUCAAGUUUUUAUUCUCUUGCAUUUCCAAGUGCAUUUGUUCUUACUUUAGCCUUUGAGGUGGUAUUAUAGCAUUCUUGUUAGUGUAGGAGUCUCGAAGAGAUUUUAUUUCAAGAGUGAGAUAAUUAAACCCACCAAUUCUAUGAUCGUGAGAUAUUUUCAACCCAUGAUUUCUUCAUUGAGCUAUCUUGGUUUGGAUUUCACCUAAAGCUUUUCCUAUGAAUUGCUGCUAUCAUGGUGCUUGUUAUUAAUCCAAGUUCUCGAUGUAUCCUCUUGGUGUAAGAAAUUGCUCAUAUCUUGUUUCUCCCAAUCUAUCCUUGUUUCUUUUAGUGGUUGGUUGUCACCUCAUAAAUGUUGUGAUGAUUUCCAUAAGCCCACUACUGUCUUGUUCUUUUCUUUGUUGUUUUUCCAACAACUUCGUCCAAUUCUUCUUGCAAGGAUGCUUGCCAAGUUCAUUGGAGUUAGUAGUUUUCAUUCUUUUCUUCCGUAUGAGCUAGUUCCUAUUCUAUUGUUCCGGAGGGUUUGUGAUAUUUCUCUUUUGGGUCAAUCUUGUUGUUCUAUCAAGAUCAUGGUGUUCCCUUGUUCUAUUUAGUUGUUUGUUAUGUAUAUUGUCUAAUUCUCUCUCCUUGUCGAAUUUUUUGUCCCAUUUUCCUACCGAAGUGCUGCUGAAAAUUUCCGUGAAUUCUUGCUUCUUCUCAUAUCAGUCCUCAUCUCUUUGCAACUUCCUAACGAUGCACAACACAAAUGAUGCAUGAACAACUGAAUACAUGCAAGUCACGGCAUGACAAAUCACACAAUCAAACACUACACAUUAAGUGAAGUUCAAUAUGCAACGGGUUGCAUAUUGACGAAACUCCACGUUAGUUAUUUAGUUCUAUCCCGAUUAGGUACUCGGCAAUAUUAAAAGGUUGUUAACAUGGCAAGGGGGUGAAGCACAAAUUAAUCUACCUCGCUAGGCAUUUUAAAUGAGGCCGGAAACGACAUAUAGCAUCUCCGAAAUGACCCCACGUGUUAAAUCUUAAUUUUGUCCAGAUUUUUCCUAAUCACAUUUUAGGUUUGUUAAACGGCAAACAAAGUGGUUCACGUGAUGCUACGCGACGUGCUGGUCCAUUUACAUAUAUGGCACACCUCCAACGGAGCUACGGACAAAUAGUUACGUCCUAAACCGUUUUCAACAUGUCGGCACGCAAACCGAUGCAAACAGCACGCUAACAACCUUAAAACAUGCAUGAGAGUUGGUUUUAGUGAAACUACAGAAAAUUCUAAGCAACUUAUAUGUUGAAAUCAUUUUAAUCCGAUGCACGGUUUAGAAACUACGCUCGUUUGAAAAACAACGCCUUUUUCUGAAAUUAACAAAAUCCCUGAGAAUUGGAAAAAUCACACGAUGUUAAAAAAAACACAGUGGACCGCAUUUCACCAUAGUGCAGUGGCCCAGGGCUGAAAUCGGCCCACAACAGCUGUGUGCGAGAGAGAAAAAAAAGAAAAAAAAAACCACAACCAGCAAAAGAUUAAAGGUACCGAUGGGAUUUGAUCCCAUGACCUCCUGGACGAGGGAAAAAUACUCCAACCACUGCGCUAUUGUUGAGACUUUGGUGCAAGGUGGGUAUAUAAGUCAUAUGUAUCAAACUGAGGCUCUAAUCUAAUUAACACAAAAACAAAAUAGGCAUAUCUGGGAUUCGAACCCCAGAUCUCUGGGAUGUCCCGUUGGCACAAACCAGUUGACCUGUGCAUGCUCGAGUGAAAUAUUGCACGGUUAGCGCCAGAUGAACCAUACCGUGGGGCCAGCCUGACGAAACUGAAUCACGAAACAGAGAUAUCUCUGUUGCCAGGUCGGGGAUGCACGGGUUCAGUUCGUCAGGGACGAACGGCUGGCGGCAUGGGCGAUGAGGAGGCGGCUCCGACGGGGCUCUUCGCCAGCGGGCUGGGUAUCUCCAGUUGAGGGGGGCCCUCCGGACGUGUUGGCUGGGGACGCACACAUGGCCGAUUGAGGUCGGCUUCUGGGCUAGGCUUGGCGCUGCCGGCGCGGUCAACAGCCGAGCGAGCUGUUGCUGCUCGUUACCUGACGAACAUAAGCAGCAGCAGGAGUCUUGUGGAGCAGAGGACGGCGACACAGGAGGUCGAGCGAUGGGGUCGGUGGGAACCGGCUGGAACCAACGGGAACGGCACGGGGUUAAUCUAGAUCGGGACACUGAGGCGCAGAUGUCGUGAUCCAGGGCGGCGGCGGCGGGUUUUUUCUCGUUCUGCUCCUGACAGAAGAAACGAGCAGAGGGAGAGGUUAGAACAGAGGAGGAAGAAGAAAAGGGAGAGGGAGAAGAGAGGGAUGGCACACGGGCACCGGCCUGGGCGUGGUGCUACUCCGGCGAGGCUGGCCUCGAGAGCUUGUUGCCCCCGUUCUAGAUCGGAAGCGCCGGCUGGGGUUGGGACUGUUGUUGAUGUUGCUGGCGCCGGGCGCGUGUACUAAGCAACUCUGGACAUGGGGGCGCUCCUGGCCGAGGUAGCAGCGACCGGAACGGCAGCGGGGCUGGCUUGGCUCAGACGACGAGGGGGCUACGGAUGCUCCAGCUAUUGGAUCGAGGCCCCAUGGGGUGGCUCGGCUGCUGCAAGACAGAGAGAGAUGAGACGAGGAAGACAGAAGAACCAGGAAAGAGAGGAGGAGAGAGGAGCAGGGGCACCAGCGCGGAUGCAGGGAGCUACCGGUGACGGGCCCUGGCAUCUGCCGGCUCCUGGAUGCGUCCAACAUGCAGAGUAGAAGGUGGCAUCGGGGCAUGCUUCUUGCUGGUUGGGCAGGGGAACGAGAUCCCGAGGAAACAGGAGUGGCGGCGGCGGCGGCGGUGAUGGGACAAGAUCCCUAGGAAUUAGGGUUGAACCUCUUUUAUAUAAAGAUAUUGAAUUGGGCUAGAGUCUAUCAGGACCCUCCGAUGGAGAUCAGACGGUCGAGAAUAACUAGGUUAGGGAGUCCAAUGGACAAACAGAUGAUGGGUUGCGGUAUUACGGGGUUGAACCAGAUCCAACGGUCACAACCGUGUGGUUCGGGCACCGGGAGGUUUCGGACUGGGCUGCGCGUAGGGGCGGUGCACUGAGCAGAGGCGCUAGGCGAAGAUGACAGGGAAAAACGGGCAACCCGGUGACAGAGUUUAAAAUACCGAAACGUCCGACAAUUGACCGGCUAUAGUGCCGCUAUAUAAUAAACAGCACGGGUGACAAACGAGCUCCGAUCGCGAUAAAAUUUGACGGAUGGACUACCUACACUAAAUUAAUACCGCACGCCAAGUUCCAGCUCAAUCAGAGAAAGUUUUACGCACACUUUAAAACAAGGUUUCGACGAUGCCACGGGCGCGUGCGUGUGUGGUCGGGCUCAGAACGGACAACGACGAGAACCGGUAACUAACAACGGAUGCAAGUUUGAAAACUGGCGGCAACGGAGAUGCCGAUGCAAUGCAUAUGAUGCGAUGAUGAUGCGACAAAAGAAAAUAGACACACGACGAAAACGGAAAGAAAAGGGGAAUCUUCUGGAACGUCGGCAUCGGGCUAUCACAUGCUUACCACUGAAACUAUACUCAACUCACGUGAUGAUCGAACUUGAGCUAGUGUAAGUGGAUCAUGAACCACUCAAAUGACUAGAGAGAUGUACUUUUUGAGUGGGAGUUUAGCGAGUAAUUUGAUUAAAGUUAAACUCUAAUUAUCUGAACAUAGUCUAAGUCCACUUUGAAUAUAUUUGUGUUGUUGAUCAUGGCUCACGCGACAGUCACCCCGAAUUUUAAUACGUUCCUAGAGAAAGCUAAGUUGAAAGAUGAUGGAAGCAACUUUGUAGACUGGGCUCUUAAUCUUAAGCUAAUCUUACAAGCUGGGAAGAAGGAUUAUGUCCUUAAUGCUGCAAGGAGAUGACCCACCCGCUACGGCUGACCAGGAUGUUAAGAACACUUGGUUAGCACGUAAGGAGGACUACUCAGUAGUUCAAUGUGCAGUCUUGUAUGGCUUGGAACCGGGACUUCAACGUCGCUUUGGGCGUCAUGGAGCAUUUGAGCUGUUCCAGGAGUUGAAGUUUAUCUUUCAGAAGAAUGCCCGGAUCGAGAGGUAUGAGACCUCCGAUAAAUUCUAUGCUUGCAAGAUGGAGGAGAACUCGUCUGUCAGUGAACAUGUGCUCAAAAUGUCUGGGUACUCAAACCGUCUAGCUGAGCUGGGGAUUGAACUCCCGCAAGAGGCUAUCACUGACAAAAUCCUUCAAUCACUGCCGCCAAGCUAUAAAGGCUUUGUGUUGAACUACAACAUGCAAGGGAUGAACAAGUCUCCCGGCGAGUUGUUUGCGAUGCUGAAAGUCGCAGAGUCUGAACUCCGUAAAGAGCAUCAAGUGUUGAUGGUGAAUAAGACCACUAGUUUCAAGAGAAACGGCAAAGGCAAGAAGGGUAAUUCGAAGAAGAGCGGCAAGCCUGUUGCCAAUCCGACGAAGAAACCCAAAGCUGGACCUAAGCCUGAAACGGAGUGUUACUAUUGCAAGGGUAUGGGUCACUGGAAGCGCAAUUGCCCCAAGUAUCUGGCAGAUAAAAAGGCAGGCAAAGAAAAAUCAGGUAUAUUUGAUAUACAUGUUAUUGAUGUGUACUUAACCGGCUCUCGUAGUAGUGCCUGGGUAUUCGAUACCGGUUCUGUUGCUCAUAUUUUCAACUUGAAACAAGAACUGCGGAAUAGACGAAGGCUGGCGAAAGAUGAAGUGACGAUGCGCGUAGGAAAUGGUUCCAAGGUUGAUGCAAUCGCCGUCGGCACAGUUUCACUUCAGUUACCAUCAGGAUUAGUGAUGAACUUAAAUCAUUGUUAUUUAGUGCCUGCGUUGAGCAUGAACAUUAUAUCUGGAUCUUGUUUAUUGCGAGACGGUUACUCUUUUAAGUCAGAGAAUAAUGGUUGUUCUAUUUCCAUGAGUAACAUCUUUUAUGGUCAUGCACCCAAUGUGAGAGGAUUGUUCAUAUUGAAUCUUGAUAGUGAUACACACAUACAUAACACUGAGACCAAAAGAGUUAGAGUUAACAAUGAUAGCGCCAUAUUUUUGUGGCACUGCCGCUUAGGUCAUAUUGGUGUAAAGCGCAUGAAGAAAACUCCAUACCGAUAGACUUUUGGAGUCACUUGACUUUGAUUCACUUGACACGUGCGAACCAUGCCUCAUAGGCAAGAUGACUAAAACUCCGUUCUCCGGAACAAUGGAGCGUGCAAGUGACUUGUUCGAAAUCAUACAUACCGAUGUGUGCGGUCCAAUGAGCGUGGAGCCACGCGGCGGAUAUCGUUAUUUUCUCACCUUCACUAACGAUUUGAGUAGAUAUGGUUAUGUCUACUUAAUGAAGCACAAGUCUGAAACAUUUGAAAAGUUCAAGCAAUUUCAGAGUGAAGUUGAAAAUCAUUGUAACAAGAAGAUCAAGUUCCUACGGUCUGAUCGUGGGGGUGAAUAUCUGAGUUUCGAGUUUGGUGCUCACUUAAGACAAUGUGGAAUUGUUUCACAGUUGACACCGCCUGGAACACCACAGCGUAAUGGUGUGUCCGAACGUCGUAAUCGUACUUUAUUAGAGAUGGUGCGAUCUAUGAUGUCUCUUACCGAUUUGUCGUUAUCAUUUUGGGGUUAUGCAUUAGAAACAGCUGCAUUCACUUUAAAUAGGGCACCAUCAAAAUCCGUUGAGACGACACCAUACGAACUGUGGUGUGGCAAAAGGCCAAAGUUGUCGUUUCUUAAAGUUUGGGGAUGUGAUGCUUAUGUCAAAAAGCUUCAGCCUGAAAAGCUGGAACCCAAAGCGGAAAAGUGCAUCUUCAUAGGUUACCCAAAAGAGACAGUUGGGUACACCUUCUAUCUCAAAUCCGAGGGCAAAGUGUUUGUUGCUAAAAACGGAGCUUUUCUCGAGAAGGAGUUUCUCUCGAGAGAAUUGAGUGGGACGAAGAUAGAACUUGAUGAGGUUGUCGAACCUCUCAUCCCUCUAGAUGGUGGCGCAGGACAAGGGGAAACCUUUGUCGUUGCGACGCCGAUUGAGGAGGAAGUUAAUGAUGAUGAUCAUGAAACUCCGGUUCUGGUUUCUGUCAAACCACGCAGGUCGACGAGACCAUGUGCUGCUCCACAGUGGUACGGUAAUCCCGUCAUGUCAAUCAUGUUGUUAGACAACAAUGAACCUGCAAAUUAUGAAGAAGCAAUGGUGGGCCCAGAUUCCAACAAAUGGCUAGAAGCCAUGAAGUCCAGAUAGGAUCCAUGUAUGAGAACAAAGUGUGGGCUUUGGAAGUACUACCUGAGGGCCGCAAGGCUAUUCAGAACAAAUGGAUUUUUAAGAGGAAGACGGACGCUGACGGCAAUGUGACCAUUUAUAAAGCUCGACUUGUGGCAAAGGGUUUUUCACUAGUUCAAGGAGUUGACUACGAUGAGACAUUCUCACCCAUAGCGAUGCUUAAGUCCGUCAGAAUCAUGUUAGCAAUAGCUGCAUUUUUCGAUUAUGAAAUCUGGCAGAUGGAUGUCAAAACGGCGUUCCUUAACGGUUUCCUUAAGGAAGAGUUGUAUAUGAUGCAACCCGAAGGUUUUGUCGAUCCUAAGAAUGCUAACAAAGUGUGCAAGCUCCAGCGAUCCAUUUAUGAACUGGUGCAAGCAUCUCGGAGUUGGAACAAACGCUUUGAUGAGGUGAUCAAAGCAUUUGGGUUUAUACAAGUGGUUGGAGAAUCUUGUAUUUACAAGAAAGUGAGUGGGAGCUCUGUGGCGUUUCUAAUAUUAUAUGUGGAUGACAUAUUGCUGAUUGGAAACAACGUGGAGUUUUUGGAGAGCAUAAAGGAUUACUUGAAUAAAAGUUUCUCUAUGAAGGACCUAGGAGAAGCUGCUUACAUUCUAGGCAUUAAGAUCUAUAGGGAUAGAUCAAAACGCCUGAUAGGACUUUCGCAAAGCACAUACCUUGAUAAAGUUUUGAAGAGGUUCAAAAUGGAACAGUCCAAGAAAGGGUUCUUGCCAGUUUUACAAGGUACGAGAUUGAGUAAGAAUCAAUGCCCAGCAACUCAUAAGGAUAGAGAGCAUAUGAGCACCGUCCCCUAUGCUUCAGCCAUAGGUUCUAUCAUGUAUGCAAUGUUGUGCACUAGACCGGACGUUAGCCUGGCCAUAAGUGGAUCACUAGACGGCGGUCAAGAAUAUCCUGAAGUACCUGAAAAGGACUAAGGAGAUGUUUCUCGUGUAUGGAGGUGACGAAGAGCUCGCCGUAAAGGGUUACGUCGAUGCAAGCUUUGACACAGAUCCGAACGACUCUAAGUCGCAGACCGGAUACGUAUUUAUUCUUAAUGGGGGUGCGGUAAGCUGGUGCAGUUCCAAGCAAAGCGUCGUAGCAGAUUCUACAUGUGAAGCGGAGUACAUGGCUGCCUCGGAGGCGGCUAAGGAGGGUGUCUGGAUGAAGCAGUUCAUGACGGAUCUUGGAGUGGUGCCAAGUGCACUGAAUACAAUAACCUUGUUCUGUGACAACACGGGUGCCAUUGCCCUAGCAAAGGAACCACGGUUUCACAAGAAGUCCAGACACAUCAAACGACGCUUCAACCUCAUCCGCGACUACGUCGAAGGGGAGGACGUAAAUAUAUGCAAAGUGCACACGGAUCUGAAUGUAGCAGACCCGCUGACUAAACUUCUUCCACGGGCAAAGCAUGAUCAACACCAGAACUGUAUGGGUGUUAGAUUUAUUACAAUGUAAUUCGCAUGAUGAUGUGAGGGCUAGAUUAUUGACUCUAGUGCAAGUGGGAGACUGUUGGAAUUAUGCCCUAGAGGCAAUAAUAAAUAUAGUUAUUAUUAUAAUUCCUGUAUCAAGAUAAUCGUUUAUUAUCCAUGCUAUAAAUUAUUAUUAUGAUUCCUGUAUCAAGAUAAUCGUUUAUUAUUCAUGCUAUAAUUGUAUUGAAUGAAGACUUAUAUACAUGUGUGGAUAUAUAGACAAAACACUGUCCCUAGCAAGCCUCUAGUUUGCUAGCCAGUUGAUCAAAGAUAGUCAGUGUCUUCUGAUUAUGAACAAGGUGUUGUUGCUUGAUAACUGGAUCACGUCAUUAGGAGAAUCACGUGAUGGACUACACCCAAACUAAUAGACGUAGCAUGUUGAUCGUGUCAUUUUGUUGCUACUGUUUUCUGCGUGUCAAGUAUUUAUUCCUAUGACCAUGAGAUCAUAUAACUCACUGACACCGGAGGAAUGCUUUGUGUGUAUCAAACGUUGCAACGUAACUGGGUGACUAUAAAGAUGCUCUACAGGUAUCUCCGAAGGUGUUCGUUGAGUUAGUAUGGAUCUAGACUGGGAUUUGUCACUCCGUGUGACGGAGAGGUAUCUCGGGGCCCACUCGGUAAUACAACAUCACACACAAGCCUUGCAAGCAAUGUGACUUAGUGUAAGUUACGGGAUCUUGUAUUACGGAACGAGUAAAGAGACUUGCCGGUAAACGAGAUUGAAAUAGGUACGCGGAUACUGACGAUCGAAUCUCGGGCAAGUAACAUACCGAAGGACAAAGGGAAUGACAUACGGGAUUAUAUGAAUCCUUGGCAGUGAGGUUCAAACGAUAAGAUCUUUGUAGAAUAUGUAGGAUCCAAUAUGGGCAUCCAGGUCCCGCUAUUGGAUAUUGACCGAGGAGUCUCUCGGGUCAUGUCUACAUAGUUCUCGAACCCGCAGGGUCUGCACACUUAAGGUUCGACGUUGUUUUAUGCGUAUUUGAGUUAUAUUGUUGAUUACCGAAUGUUGUUCGGAGUCCCGGAUGAGAUCACGGACGUCACGAGGGUUUCCGGAAUGGUCCAGAAACGAAGAUUGAUAUAUAGGAUGACCUCAUUUGAUUACCGGAAGGUUUUCGGAGUUAUCGGGAAUGUACCGGGAAUGACGAAUGGGUUCCGGGUGUUCACCGGGGGGGCAACCCACCCCGGGGAAGCCCAUAGGCCUUGGGGGUGGCGCACCAGCCCUUAGUGGGCUGGUGGGACAUCCCAAGAAGGCCCUAUGCGCCAUAGGAAGAAAAUCAAAGAGAAAAAAAAAGAGGAGGUGAGAAAAGGGGGAAGGACUCCUCCUUCCAAACCUAGUUGGACUCGGUUUGGAAGGGGAGGGUUGCCCCCCUUGGCUUGGCCGACCCCCUUGGGAGUCCUUGGACCCCAAGGCAAGGCUCCCCCUCCUCCCCCUAUAUAUACGGAGGUUUUAGGGCUGAUUUGAGACAAUUUUUGCCACGGCAGCCCGACCACAUAUCUCCACGGUUUCACCUCUAGAUCGCCUUUUUGCGGAGCUCGGGAGGAGCCCUGCUGAGAUAAGAUCAUCACCAACCUCCGGAGCGCCGUCACGCUGCCGGAGAACUCAUCUACCUCUCCGUCUCUCUUGCUGGAUCAAGAAGGCCGAGAUCAUCGUCGAGUUGUACGUGUGCUGAACGCGGAGGUGCCGUCCGUUCGGCACUAGAUCGUGGGACUGAUCGCGGGACGGUUCGCGGGGCGGAUCGAGGGACGUGAGGAUGUUCCACUACAUCAACCGCGUUUCUUAACGCUUCUUCUGUGCGGUCUACAAGGGUACGUAGAUCGAAUAUCCCCUCUCGUAGAUGGACAUUACCAUGAUAGGUCUUCGUGCGCGUAGGAAAUUUUUUGUUUCCCAUGCGACGUUCCCCAACAGGCUUGGCGAGCGGCUAAUAUGGAGCGCAAGAAGCUGCCUGCAGGCACCAUGGUCCAUGGUGUUCCGGAGCUGGUAUUGAUGUUUGCCAGUAGCCGGUACAAGGUGGACCAGGCGGCCCGCGUGGUAAGCAGCGAUCUGGAGCGUUUGGAGGAGCGCACCAGGGUAAGUGCCUUGUCUCUGUCUUCAAUUUUUCUUUUCUUCUUCUUGAAUCAGUGGGGGCGCACCAGCGCACCCACUGGGUGUAGCCUCCGAGAGUCAGGCCGGCCGAGCAUCGGCCAGACUGAAUCUCUUUUAGAUUCUUCUCUUGCUUUGCUUCUUUAGUGGGGCCGCGCUAGCGCACCCACUGGGUGUAGCCCCCGAGAAUCGGGCUGGUUAUGAUUUAACCAGGCUGAAUCUUACUUCUGCUUCUUCCUUGCUUUGUAGGAUCUUUAUGAUGCCGAGAUGCAAGCCUACAACACGCUGCAGGCUCAAAACCAGGCGGUUGAUGGCCACGUCGCCAAGCUUCAGGCCCGGCUGCACGAGGUUAUCGUGGAGCGGGACGCCCUGCGCGAGGCGGACAGCCGGCUCCAGCAGCAGCUGACUCUUCUCCAGAUAGAGAAGAAGGAGCUCGAGGCGGCUCGCCAGGCCGAGCAGGAGCAGUUGCGCGCCUCCCUGUAGGAGAAGGACGCCUCCCAUACUAUCGACGUGGAGCGUCUUGAGAUGCUUCAUCUCGGGGAGAUGAAGCUCAAGGACGCUUCCUUGAAGGAGAAGGAGGACGCCCCGAUCCAGAAGCAGGCGCAGCUGGCCAAGGCCCUGGACGCCGCGGCGGCCCUCCAAGACGAAGUCGCCCGCCUCACUCAAGCGAGCAAGGUGCGGGAGCUCGAGGCCCUGGAGGGCGCCCAUGAGACUGAUAGCGACUUCGACCGUGAGUCUUAUUUUGUUUUGUCUUGAAUUUUUCUUUGUCGCCACCUCUUCUUACUCUUCUUUGCACCCAAUCCCCUAUCUCAGGCCUCUUCCCUAAGAUACAGGACGCGGCCGACACGGCCGUCGAGGUGAGCCGCAAGGAGCGCCGCGCGGCCGGGCAGGUGGUAGACGCUACCUCCCGCUGGAGCAUGGAAGAGAUCGGGGUGGGCCUCAGAGCCCGCCUGCGCAUCCUGGGCGAGUCCGUGGCUCGGCUCCAGAUCGCAGGCUCGUCGAUGGUGAAGGCCGUGUGGCUUGACGGCGUGGAGCCGGCGUCGAUGAGCCGGCUCUCCCGCUGGCUUGCGGCUGGCGAAGACCGUCUUGACGUCUCGCGCGCUUCAGCCGCGCGCGCUGGAGCCUACAUGGCCCUGCGCUUGGCCAAGUCCUGGUACCGAAACCUGGACUUGGGCAAGCUCGUCGCUCAGCGCGAUGGCUCGGAAGUGGAGCUGCAAGCCGUGGAGGAGGAGCUGCGCGUGAGGGCCAGCGACAUCGCCUUGUACGCCGCCUGGGAUGAGCUCAACUUGGAGCGGGGCGAAGGCGGCAAUGUGAUCCGUGAGGAUCUGCAUGGCCUUUAGCUCUAUGACGCUGAUGGCAGCUCCGACGAGGCGACCCAUGAGGUGGAAAAUGUUGCCGCCUCCAGCGGCGAGGCGUAUGCCGACUCCGACGCGGAUGGAUCCGGAAGCCCUCGUGGAGGAGACGGCGCCACCGCCUCGGGAGCAGCCAGCGAUGGUGAAACCACCACUUCAGGAGCAGCAGCCAGGGCGACCGACGAGGCCGGAGCCCCUUAGUCGAUCCUGUUUUUUCUUUUUGUUGUCUGCAAUUAUCUUGUCAGUCCAAUAGUUCCACCCACUGGGGGGUGUAAUGAACUUCGACCGUGGGCCAAUGCAUUUUGAAUGUAUGGAUUCAGCAUUAUAUUCGUAUUGCCAUGCUUGUUGUUUUAUAUCUUUAUCUUUUGAUUCCUAUUUGACUUCUUUUUCUCCAACUCCUCUACCCCCCAAGUUUCCACCCCGCCAGCCCGAUAGCCGGGAGCCGGUCUGUGACUGGGUCGAGGUUUCUGACUUUGAGAAUAUAAGACUUAGAUUUUUCGAAGCCAUCAAGACUUAAAGAUUCAUACAUAAACCAGCAGAGGCCGGCUUGAAUGAGAUCGUAAAAUAGAUCAAGCCAACCUGAGCCGGCAACCUUUUUGUAGUCAAACUUUACAUGCAUCCGGCCUUACCUGGCGUCGCCUCGCUAGCCGGACAGCCGGGAGCCGGUCUGUAGCUGUUACGAGGUGACCAGGGAUCGGUCCGGCGUACACUAUGUGUUUUUCUACAACAUAAGGAAGUCGUCGGGGCGGCUAGUGAGCCUCCGAGCUUAUUGGAGCCAGCAAGGGGCUCACAGAGUGAGCACUCUAAGUAUGAAUUUAAAAAGAAGCAUAUGGCAUGCUCUUUUCAUUGCAUUCAUUGGAAAUCCCUGAAGAGGGAGAAAGAUACAUAUGUGCAUGCUCUUUCCAUGUUUGAUACUUGCCUUCUAGCAAUAGAACGGGCGAAGCAACGCCGCGUUCCAUGGACGUUCUGUCUCCUGGCCGGAGUCGUCCCUCUUGCGCUUCCUUGGCUUCUGGGCAUCGAUCAAGUAGUAUGCAUUGUUGUGCAAUGCCCUACUGAUGAUGAAGGGUCCCUCCCAUGGGGAUGAGAGCUUGUGCUGGCCGGCGGUGCGCUGGAUUCUUCUGAGCACCAAGUCUCCCUCUCUGAAAGAGAGAGGAUUGAUCUUCUUGUUGUGGUAGUAUCUCAGCUUCUGUUGAUAGAUGGCCGUCCGGCUCAAGGCCAAGUCCCUUGCUUCCUCGAGGAGAUCAACAUCGUCUUCUCUUGCCUCCUUCGCCUCCGUUUCUGUGUACAAGGUGACCCGAGGCGAGUCGAACUCGAUAUCCGUAGGGAUGAUGGCCUCGGACCCGUAUACCAGAAAGAACAGAGUGAAGCCGGUUGACCUGUUGGGCGUGGUGCGGAGACUCCACAGUACAGCUGGCAGUUCUUUGAUCCAGCAGCCGGCUGACCUGAAAAGUGGUGCCACCAGUGUUGGCUUGAUGCCGGCCAGGAUUAGGCCGUUGGCCCUCUCCACCUGGCCAUUGGACUGGGGAUGUGCCACUGACGCCAAGUCGAGCCGGAUGCCUACCUUGGAGCAGUAGAGCGCCAUAUCGAACAGAUAUGUCCGUGAUGAACUUGACAGCCAUGGGGCCAUCAAGCAUCUUGAUGGGCCUAGCUUCAAUCCACUUGGUGAAUUUGUCGACGACCAACAAGAGGUGAGUGAUACGUCUCCAACGUAUCUAUAAUCUUUGAUGGUUCCAUGCUAUUAUCUUGUCAAACUUUGGAUGUUUUGUAUGCCUUUUAUAUCUUUUUGGGACUAACUUAUUAACUGAGUGCCAAGUGUCAGUUCCUGUUUUUUCCGUGUUUUUGACCCUUUUCAGAGGAUAAUAUUAAACAAAGUCCAAACGGAAUAAAACUUCCGAAAAGAUUUUUUUCCGGAACAGAAGAUAUGCACGGGGCGUGAGAACCAAGGCAGAGGCCACAAGACCCCUAGGCGCGGCCAGGGGGGCGCGCCUAGCAGGCUUGUGGGCCCCCGUGUGGCUCGUCUGCCCUACUUCUUCCGCCUAUAAAUCCCCGAAAAAUCAAAAACCACGGGAGAGAUCCACGAAAAUACUUUUUCGCCGCCGCAAGCUUCUGUGUCCGCAAGAUCCCAUAUGGGGCACAUUCUGGUGCCCUGCCGGAGGGGGGAUUCAGAUAAGGAGGGCUUGUUCAUCAACACCAUGGCCUCUCCGAUGAUGCGUGAGUAGUUCACCAUAGACCUUCGGGUCUAUAGCUAGCAGCUAGAUGGCUUCUUCUCUCUCUUGGAUCUUCAAUACAAAGUUCUCCAUGAUCUUCAUGGAGAUCUAUCCGAUGUAAUCUUAUUUUGCGGUGUGUUUGUCGAGAUCCGAUGAAUUGUGGAUUUAUGUUCACAUUAUCUAUGAAUCUUAUUUGAGUUUCUUCUGAUCUCUUAUAUGCAUGAUUUCAUACCCUUGUAAUUCUCUUCGAGUUGUGGGUUUUGUUUGGCCAACUUGAUCUAUGAUUCUUGCAAUGGGAGAAGUGCUUGGUUUUGGGUUCAUACCGUGCAGUGACCUCACCCAGUGACAGAAGGGGUAGCGAGGCACGCAUCGUGUUGUUGCCAUCAAGGGUAAAAAUAUGGGGUUUUCAUCAUUGGUUCGAGAUUGUCCCUCUACAUCAUGUCAUCUUGCUUAAGGCGUUACUCUGUUCGUCAUGAACUCAAUACACUAGAUGCAUGUUGGAUAGCGGUCGAUGUGUGGAGUAAUAGUAGUAGAUGCAGACAGUAUCGGUCUACUUGUCUCGGAUGUGAUGCCUAUAUGUAUGAUCAUUGCCUUAGAUAUCGUCAUGACUUUGCGUGGUUCUAUCAAUUGCUCGACAGUAAUUCGUUCGCCCACCGUAAUAUUUGCUAUCUUGAGAGAAGCCUCUAGUGAACACUAUGGCCCCCGGGUCUACUUCACAUCAUAUUUUCAGCCUUACACUUUUGCUUUGUUGCACUUUCCACCUUCAGAUAUCACUUUACAAUCAAUCUUGAAGGGAUUGACAACCCCUUUGUAGCGUUGGGUGCAAGCUCAUUUGUGUUUGCGCAGGUACUCUGGACACUUGGCUUGAUUCUCCUACUGGAUUGAUACCUUGGUUCUCAAACUGAGGAAAAUACUUACUGCUACUGUGCCGCAUCACCCUUUCCUCUUCAAGGGAAAAACCAAUGCAAGCUCAAGAGGUAGCAGUGAGUCAUGCCACCGCGAGCCGUCUUGAAAGGCCCCACCAUGUCUAGCCCCCAAAUGGUGAAAGGCCAUGACAAGGGGAUGGUUUUGAAGGCCGAAGGCGGCAUGUGGCUCUGCGUGCCAAAGAAUUGGCAGCCCUCGCAUUUGUUAACCAAGCCCACUGCCUCCUCGAGGGCCGUGGGCCAGUAGAAUCCGUGGCGGAAUGCCUUGGCUAUCAGGGUUCUAGGGGCGGCAUGAUGCCCACACUCCCCUUGGUGAAUGUCUCUGAGGAUCUCCUGUCCCUUUUCUGAUUCGACGCAGUGCUUGAACACGCCAGUCAUGCUAUGUCGAACCAGCUCGCGAUUGAUGAUGGUGUAGGCUGCAGAUCUGCGCUGGAUCUGCCUCGCCUCCGCCUCGUCUUGAGGAAGUUCGCUGCGAAGGAGGAAGGCCAGGAUGGGUUGAGCCCAUGACGAAGCCGACAUGAGGGCUGGCUCCAUCUCGACCUGACUGUCAAGGGCUUCUGCAGCCCCCGCGCUUGAUGAAGCAGUAGUCGUGGGCUCAAGACAAGGUGUCUCUGAUGCUGUUGUGGCGGCCGGCUCGCCGUCUACCUCCAUGACGUCCACCCACUGGGUGUCGAGACGACAUGAUUCGAGGUAGGGCGGAGCCGGAUUUGAUAUUGUAGCCGACGAAGUAGUCGUAGCCGGCGAAGUGGUUGUAGCCGGUGCUGCAAUUGGAGUUGGCAGAGCUAGCAUAGCCGGCACAAGAGCUGUAACUGGUGUAGCUGGUGGAGCUGACGGCGCUUGCACCGAAGAAACAACCGGUGCCGCAAUUUGAGUCGGCACAGCCAGCGUAGCCGGCACAGGAGCUGUAGCCGAUGUAGCUGGUGGAGCCGAUGGCGCUUGCACCGAAGAAUCAGCCGGCACGAAGAUCGAUGCCGACUCUGGAGACGGCCUAAUAGACGGCUUGUGGAGCUGCUCGAGGGAGACGUCGGCUGGGAUAGCCUAUCUCAUGGAGCCAAUCUUUGCCAAUGUAUUGGCUGCCUCGUUGUCCGCCCUAGGAACAUGGUGGAACUCGCAACCCUCGAAGGGGCCGCUGAGUUGCUGGAUGAGGAAGCGGUAGCUUGCCAUGUUAGCGUCCCUGGCGUCCCAUUCGCCAGAAACAUGCUGCACCACAAGGUCUGAGUCGCCGAAGCAGAUGAGCCGCCGGAUGCCAAUCUCCUUGGAGAGCCGGAGGCCAUGAGCGAGCGCUUUGUACUCGGCGACGUUGUUGGAGGCGGCGAAGUGGAUCUGGAGAGCAUACUUGAGUUGGUCUCCUUUCGGAGACAUCAAGACGAUGCCGGCUCCCAGACCAGUCCCCAUCUUUGAGCCGUCGAAGUGCAUCCGCCAAUGCGUGGAGUCUGGAGGUGGUGGCUCAAACUGGGUUUCGGCCCAGUCGACCAGGAAGUCGGCCACCACCUGAGAUUUGAUGGCGGUGCGAGGCUCGUAGCGGAUAUCGUGGUCCGACAUGGCGAUGGACCACUUGGCGAUCCCGCCAGUUGCAUCACGGUUGCCCAUGAUUUCUGAAAGUGGAGCAGUGCUCACCAUGGUGAUAGCAUGCUCUUGGAAGUAUUGCUUCAACUUCUUUGCAGCGAGGUAAACACCAUAACACAUUUUUUGGUAGUGGGGAUAGUUCUGCUUGGAGGCGGACAAGACCUCGCUGAGGUAGUAGACAGGGUGCUACACUAACAGUACCUUGCCCUCCUCCUUGCGCUAAACUACCAGCACUACACUAACCACGCAAGUGGUUGGUGCAAUGUAUACGAGUAUGGGUUCCCUUUCAGCCGGCGCUGCCAAGAUUGGCAGGCUCGAGAUGACCCUCUUGAGGUCGCGGAUGGCUUCGCCCGCCUGGUCGUUCCACUCGAAUUUCGUCGUCGUCUUCAUGAGCUGGUAGAGUGGAAGGGCCUUCUCGCCGAGCCGGCUGAGGAACCGUCUAAGGGACGCCAGGCAGCCAGCGAACUUCUCGACGUCUAGGAUCCGAGCUGGCUUCACCAUCCGCUCGAUGGUGCCGAUCUUCUCAGGGUUCGCCUCGAUUCCACGAGCGAACACGAAUAAACCAACAGCUUGCCGCCUGGAACCCCAAAGAUGCACUUCUCCUGGUUCAGCCGGAUCUUGUACUCGCGCAGGUUGGCGAACGUCUCCCGCAAGUCGUCGAGGAGGCUGAAGUGCUGCUUCGUCUUGACGAUGAUGUCAUCCACAUAGACGUGGAUGUUUCUGCCGACCUGUGGUAGUAGGCACUGCUACAUGCAGUGUUGGAAUGUCGCACCAGCAUUCUUCAGACCGAACGUCAUGGUGGUGUAGCAGUAGGCCCCGAAGGGCGUGAUGAAGGAGGUCUUCAGGCGAUCAGCUAGAUCCAGCUUGAUUUGAUGGUAGCCUAAAUAAGCAUCCAGAAAUGGCAGCAUUUCGUAGCCUGCAGUGGAGUCGAUCACUUGAUCUAUCCUAGGCAACGCGAAAGGGUCUUUCGGACAGGCCUUAUUUAGGCUAGUGUAGUCGAUACACAUUCAUCAGGUAUUGUUCUUCUUCAGUACCAGGACUGGAUUGGCCAACCAGUCCAGGUGGAAAACCUCCAUGAUGAAGCUGGCUGCAAGGAGUCGGGUAAUCUCUUCUUCGAUUGUGCGCCGCUUCCCCUCAGCGAAGCGGCGCAAAGGUUGUUUUACCAACUUUGCAUCCGGUUGUACGUGAAGUUUGUGCUCGGCGUACUUCCUCGGAACACCCGACAUGUCUUUGGGGGACCAUGCAAAGAUGUCCCAAUUCUCAUGGAGGAAGUCGACAAGCUCGCCUUCCUAUUUGGGGUUGAGGCCAGCCUCGAUGGUGACGCACUGCUUGGGGUUUGCAGGGUCGAGUGGCACCUGCUUGGUCUCUUUGGCCGGCUUGAAGGAGCCUUCGGGGGUCGACUGGGACGGAGGAGAAGGGAUCGUUGGCUGCUCGGUAGCCUGAGCUACGAGCCGGUCGAUCUGUCUCUUCUCCUCAGCACCUGGCGAUCCCUUCUUCUCCGUGGUCCAAAGGGAUCGAGCAGAAGGGAUCGCCGGCUGCUCUGUAGCCUGGUCGUCUUGAUGGGGGUAGUCGUCGUGGAGGCGGCCGUCGUCGCGAGGCGACGGCGGUGGAGUCGGAGCAGGACCUGGAGCGGGGACUUGAGGCGUAGCCUGCGCACCUGGGGCAGUCGGCAAGCCCUCCCCUUGCGACAGCCGUCGUGCAAAGUUGCACUGUUGAAGGGUGUGGGUAGAAGGCUAUGCCCGAGAAUGUAUCUUGCACGGGGCAUCAAACAGCUGCUCGAAAGUCUGCUUGGGCAACCAGUUCGUAUUGCCCAUGUUGGGCCGCUUCCGUUGAGAGCCGGCUUGAGAAGCCGACACCUCACCCUCCCCGCUGGUUACCAACUUGUUGUUGGAGCGCGAAUCUAGCUGAUCCGCCUUCGCUUGUUGUUGUUCUGGCUGCCUCGACAGUCUCCAGCCGACUUAGGAGUAGCCGGCGUAGGGACAACCUUGUCCGAGGCGGUCACCUUGACCCGCAUCGCGGAGUCAGUCAUGGCGUACUUGUCCACCUUGGCCAUUAGCACCGCCGUAGAAGUGGGCUCAGAGCACAUGAGCUUGUGCUUGAGGAGGGUGCCAUCUCGGCAACCGUCGAUGAAGUACUGGAUGGCCUGUACCUCGUGCACUCCCUCGCAGGAGUUGCGAAGCUCCGUCCAGCGAGUGAUGUAGUCGCGAAGGGGUUCGUCGGGCCUCUGGGCGCACAUGGCCAGCUCGCGAGGCCGGCCAGGGCGCUUGUAGGUGCGAGUGAAGUUGCGGACGAACGCCUCCUCGAAGUCCACCCACGAAUUGAUGCUGCCGGCUGGAAGGUUGUUAAGCCAAGUCUGAGUCGAGCCGGUCAACAUGAGCGGCACGUAGCGGACUACUACGUGCUUGUUUCCCUGGCAAUGCCGAUGGCGGUGGUGUAGUCGAUCAGCCAGUCCUCUGGCUUGGCGGUGCCAUUGUACUUGGGAGUGUCCCGAGGCAAGGUGAAGCCUUGGGGAAAUGGCUCCCCUCAGAUCCGGGGGCCGAAGCAGGCCGGACCUAUGGGGUCGUCCUCCUCCAAGAGGACUGACUGGGCCAGGGCGUCGGCCAGGCGGUUGCUGUCUUGUGCACACUCGAGCGACUUCUUGUAGUUGCCAACAAUGGUGAUGAUGCCCUUUGGACUCGGUGCUGAUGGGGGUAGAAGGGAUCGCCGGCUGCUCGGUAGCCUGGCCGUCUUGAUGGGGUAGUCGUCAUGGAGGCGGCCGUCAUCGCGAUGCGGCGGCGGUGGAGCCGGAGCAGGACCUGGAGCCGGGACUUGAGGCGCAGCCUGCGCACCUGGGGCAGCCGGCAAGCUCUCCACUUGCGAUAGCCGUCGUGCAAAGCUACACUAUCGAAGGGUGUGGGUAGAAGGUUGUGCCCCAGAAUGUAUCUUGCAGGGGGCAUCAAGCAACUGCUCGAAAGUCUGCUUGGGCAACCAGUUCGUAUUGCCCCUGUUGGGCCGCUUCCGUUGAGAGCCGACGCCUCACCCUCCAUGCUGGCUACCAACUUGUUGUUGGAGCGCGAAUCUAGCUGAUCCGCCUUGCGCUUGUUGUUGUUCUGGACGCCUCGACUGUCUCCAGCCGGCUUGGGAGUAGCCGGCGUAGGGACAGCCUUGUCCGAGGUGGUAACCUUGACCCGCAUCGCGGAGUCGGCCGUGGCGUACUUGUCCGCCUUGGCCAUGAGCACUGCCAGAGAAGUGGGCUCGGAGCACAUGAGCUUGUGCUUGAGGAGGGUGUCGUCUCAACAACCGUCGAUGAUGUACUGGAUGGCCUGUACCUCAUGCACUCUCUCACAGGAGUUGCGAAGCUCUGUCCAGCGAGUGACGUAGUCGCGAAGGGGUUCGUCGGGCCUUUGGACGCACAUGGCCAGCUCGCGAGGCCGGCCAGGGCGCUUGUAGGUGCCAGUGAAGUUGCGGACGAACACCUCCUCGAAGUCCACCCACGAAUUGACGCUGCCGGCUGGAAGGCUGUUAAGCCAAGUCCGAGCCGAGCCGGUCAACAUGAGCGGCACGUAGCGGACUGCUACGCGCUUGUUUCCCCUGGCAAUGCCGACGGCGGUGGUGUAGUCGAUCAGCCAGUCCUCUGGCUUGGCGGUGUCGUUGUACUUGGGAGUGUCCCGAGGCAACAUGAAGCCUCGGGGAAACAGCUCCCCUCGGAUCCCGGGGCCGAAGCAGGCCGGACCAAUGGGGUCGUCAUCCUCCAGGAGGGCUGACUGGGCCAGGGUGUUGAGACGCCUGCGGGCGUCCUGGUCGCCCUGGGGAACGCGAGCGCCGAUCCGAGCCGCGAUCGGAAGGGCACCUUGCGAACCGGUGGCAUGGGUCUGGACGAGGAACCUCAUACACCGAGUCGCUCUCGUCGCCUCCGCGACGCCUGCCCGAAGUAUGCUCGCUCUGGCGCUGGGAGCGCCUGUCUUGACUUCCUUCGCCCCUCCGGCCGGAGAUGCGAUGCGAGGAAGAUCCCUCCGCAUGUUGAUGACUGCUAGGGUUGCGGCGCGCUCCGGGGUUGGGUCCCGGAAACUCUGACUAGGCUUGACCGGGGUCAAGCCGUGUCUGCUGCUCGUUGGCGGCAUCACAUAGAUCCUUGAUCCACUUCUCCUGGAAGGCGCGCUCCUCGCCCUUUAAGCUCGGCAUUUAUUCCAUGGCCGCCUGUGCCGCCCGCAAGUUGGCUACAGGGGUCUCGUAGACGGGCUGCUUGCCGCCUAGAAUCUCGGCAAUGAACCGGCCGCGGCCGCGGACCGAACCAAGCCGGCUAGGGGCCUCGGAAACCGGAGUGAGGCCGUAUUCGGAGUUAUACUCACGCUACGUGGCCUCCAUACGGCGCUUCGCCGAGGCGACAGCGAUGCCCUUCUCCAAGAUCUGCUUGCGAGCCUCCUCCAGCAAAGCUCGGGCGUCGUUAGGGUUUGUGGAGGCGGCGAUGGGCAUCUUUAGGCCGGUUAGCGCAGCCUGAAGAGUGUCAGCGGCGACAGCAGCAGGGUCAGCAGUGUCUGCUGACGCUUUGCCCUGAACCGUGCUGGUGCCGGCGCCAAUGACCAUCACCUCCACGACGUUGGAAACGGUGGCGACAUGGUAUGGGGUGAAGAACCCCACCGACGGCGGAGGUCCGUCGAAGACGAGUACGUUGCUGGGGUACACGUCAUGUGUAUGCGUCUCAGCGAUAGAUAGCCUACUGAAGCUGGCACACAGUGCCUCAACAUCGAAGUCCUCGCCGACGUAGCGAGGACCUUCGUUGAGGCGCAGGUCGCUAAAGAGAAUGUUGAGGUUCUCCAUAGCAGCGACGACGACGCUAGGAGGCGCCUCAUCAUCGGACUCUUUGUCCGAAUCCGCAUGGCGGACCGGGACGUCGAUCAUCAUCGGCGUUGCCUCAUCGAAGGCGGGCUCCACGGGCAUGCAGAUCGAUCCGGACGCGAUGCAUCCGGUGGCGUAGGUGCGGGGCCCCGCCUAGCGCGUAAAGCCAGUCGAUGUCGUGAUCGGUCCCAUGGUGGGCGCCAAAUGUCGGUGAAUACUCACAGCAUAUGCCAUAGGUAGGCUAAAGUCGGUGAGAACCGAAGGGGCAACGGAGGGCGCUGGGGGCGAGGUUGGUACAAGCAUGGAACGCAUGAUGUACCCAGGUUCAGGGCUCUACGUAGAGAUAAUACCCCUAGUCCUGCCAGAGUGUAUGAUGUAUAUGGAUGGAUUGCAAGGUUGCUCCUGGAGCUUCAUUGCGGAGGAGGAAGAGGGGAGUAGCCGGCUCGUCUCUGCCUCUCCUAUGUGGUUGGUUAGUGUGUGUGUAAUCUGUUGACCGACCUCUGCAUGAAGGGGGGCCGGGGGGUUUUAUAGACGAACCCACCGGUCUACAAUAUGGAUAAAGGGUACAAGAGUGGGACCCGGCUGGCAGCCUCGCCGGCUGGCCAGGGGGCCCACGAGGGUCUUGUCUUGUCGCUUGAGGGCCCGUCGGCUGUGAGGUCCCGUCUGGCUGUGGGACCCGCCAGCUGGCCAAUGGAGCUCUCGCGUAAGGUUGACGCACGGCACGCGCGGUACGUCCGGCGUCGCCCAGCGAGAUUCGUCAUGGGCAGACGGUACGGCCGCCUCCGCUGUUCCCACGCCGAGUGCAGUAAUGGAGUGGGAGUUUGACGGUCCGACACUAUGCUGGGUGAUGGAUCAGAGACGGGGUAGGUCAGCGGCGUGGCCGCCGACGCUGGUACCUGCCGUGCACUCCAAUACAGUACCUCUGCUGACGCGUAGCCACCUUUAAUCGUAGGGUCUCGUCAUGAUCUACGAUCUGAUGUGACUUGAGAUCCCCGGCCGGCUAGCCUGCUUGGCUAGCCGGCUUGGGCACGGCCGCCUCAUUCCUAGCCGGCCCGCUUGGCCUAGGCGGCUAGGAAGAGGUAGCCGUCUUGCCUCUAGCCGGCAGGUGUUGCCUGGCCGACUAGAGAGUUAGCCGUCUCGCCCUCUAGCCGGUAGGUGUGGCCUAGCCGGCUAGAGGACUUGGACCUUGCAGAAUGGUUCUUGGUCAUUUCUUUGGGACGGAGAUAAAGGAGCAGGCUCGUUGAGCCUACCCCGGGGUUAUCCCCCCGACACGUAGUGUCUGACACCACCACUAAAUUUUAACAGUGGCGCCAUAUUGAAGGUUUUGGAUGUCCAUGCGAGCAGGUUCUUUUUUGCAAUGACAUAGCUAGGAUUUUCUGCAUCAGUGCACAUUAAACGGUGAAACCUGCUGGAUCUGCCAUGGCCUCGGCCCGAUUUGAUGGAGGUCUGGGUCGAUGGCAGUCACUCACGAAGACGCACUUAAGAUCCCUCUUGCUCGGGCCUCAUGGAGGUGAACGCGAGGACGACAGUGCUAGAGUUUGGUCAUGGAUCGGACAAGGGAAGAGAGAGAAAAUGAGAAAAGGUGAAAGAGAAUCCGAAAAGUAAGAGAAUGGAAAUGCCCGUGCGAUUACUUGGCUGAUAUGAAUCCUUUUCCCAAUUUAUAGUUCAUAAAAAAUUACAACACGGUUUUGAUAAAAGAAACAAUUACUUGUAUUUACCGCUGCUCCAGGCUUAAGACGGAGCUUAUGAUUUUUACACAUCACACACACAAGCGGUCAUAUAAACGCGCAUAUACUCAUUCAUAUGAAAGCACACAUUCACAUUUUCUUCUUAUGAGCACUUUUGAAAGAUUGAGCCGGUAGAUCAUCUUGAAAUUUACGAAGUCAUCCUAGGUAUCUUGUCAUCAACGGAAACGUCUCCUUUCACUGAAUGCGCGUCGCUAAAAAAUUCAGAAAUAAUAUAAACACCAGAACUUGAAUCCUGAUGGACCGGGACCAUUGUCUCUCUAACCAUCCAACCAUAAACUCGUACGAUUUGAGGGAAUAUGCUAUUCGCCGCUCUCUGCGGUAGCCGGUCGAGCUUUCGCACAAGCUUCACAAGACAACGGUGCUAUGUGGGCCGGCCCAUUAACAGGUUGCACUGACCCUGUUUUUGGGAACCUUCUAAAGGUUCUCAGCCGGUUUUUUACGGUUUGGAAAACUUCUACAAGGCCCCCUCAACCGUUUUUUUCUUUAUUAUUUUAUGUAUUUUUUCCUUUUUUUCUAUUUCAAAAAAUGUACUAGAUUUUCAAAAAAUAUUUUGAAUUUUAAAAAAUGGUUGGGAUUUUCCAAAAUUGUUCUUCAUGUUCGAAAAAUGUUUUUUUCUUUUUCCAAAAAUGGUCUAGAUUUUCAAAAAAUAUUCUGAAUUUUCGAAAAAUGUUUUGGAUUCUAAAAAUAUGUUUGGGAAUUAUAAAAAUUGUCCAUCAAAUUCAAAAAUGUUUUUGCUUUACAAUUUUUUUUCUGGAUUUUCAAAAAAUGUUCUGAAUUUUCAAAAGAUGUUCUUGAAAUUCAAAAAAUGUUUUGAUUUUUCAAAAAAAGUUAUGAACUCUCAAAAACAAUUUUGAAUUUUCCAAAAAAAAUCUUCAAAUUCUAGAAAUGUUUUUUGAUUCUAUGAAAUUAUUAAAACAAUUUUGAAUUUUCCAAAAAAAAUCUUCAAAUUCUAGAAAUGUUUUUUGAUUCUAUGAAAAUAUUUUAAAUUUUAAAUAGUUCUCAUUUUUGAAAAAAUUCAGAAAUUCAAAAAAAAAUUGGGAGUUUCAAAAAAUGUUAGGUAGCGCAAAAAAAAGUUUAUUAUCUUUAGGAAAUGUUCGGUAUUUUCAAAAAAGUUCAGAAUAACAAAUUUUUGUUCAUUUUUUAAACUAUGUUCUUUGGGAUUUGUAGAAAAAGGAAACGCGGCUUAAUCCAGCCCAUCAAAUCUAAAAUUAUGAUGGGUCCCAUGGCACUAAUAAUUUUAGAUUUGAUGCGAUGGCCCCGUGACGCGCAGGUAUUUUAAACGGAAGAAAAGGUUUCCCAAAAAAAAGAAGGGAAGAAGAGGAACAGAGAGAAGGAAACGAAAGAAAAGCAGGAGGCGAAGCAACGGAAAAGAAAUGGAAGAGGAGAAGCAAAGGAAAAGGAAAAAGCUUGGGAGAAGAUCGAUCUUGCGUCCGGUGUAUAUAUAUAUAUAUACACAGUAGCUUCCCCAAAUCAGAGCAAAUCCAACACAGCCCGAUCGAGCGAGCGAUUCUGGUUGGCGCGAUGGCGAUAGUGGAGUUCGGCGCCGGCGGCAAGCUCUCCGCCCCCGGCGAGUAUCCCUGCGUUCGACGAGUCCGUCACCGGCGGCUCCUCACCUACCUCUAGCUCCAGGGCUUCCAGCCCACCUUCCAGGCGUACUCGUCGAUCUCUGUCUACUUAUACUCCUUGCUAAAUUCUCUGAUUAUUUGUACGUACGUGUCGUGUCGUGUCGCCUCGUUUUUUUUCGAAAAGGAGGCCUUGCCCCGGCCUCUGCAUCGAAUGAUGCAUACAGCCAUAUAUUAAUCCAAAUAAGUAUCCAGUAAGUACAGAAUAUAUAAAAAAGGAAAAAAGAGAUACAUGGCGAACAUCGCGCCGCAGCCUGGAAUGGCUAAAAGAUGAAGAUGACUAAACACAUAUCCUAUUAAUAUUCCGCCAUCCAAACCGGUUGAAGAUACCCUGUGCUAUCAUCUCCCAGCGGGCACACCCAGUAACCAUAAGCUCCCUGGCUGCCACAGGAGUUAGUAACGACCAUGCGCGGAUCAGUGCGGUAAUUCGGUAGAUAACGUGCAAGAAUUGGAUAUCACGAGUUCUGUUAAAAACCAAAUCAUUUUUGCUAUUCCAUAAAGCCCAAAGAAGAGCACAUGCUCCGACACGAAUAGAUUUAGCCAAUUUAACAUCAAUUCCCUGUAACCACGUUCCAAAUAACGAGUUCAAGUCAACAGGAGGAGCGAUGUUAAAAGCAAUGUGAAUUGAUCGCCAAACAAUUUUAGCCAAAGGACAGUCGAGAAAGAGGUGGUGAAUACUUUCUAGGCUUGGACAGAAAGAACAUCUGGAACUCCCUUUCCAAUUCCGUUUGGCCAAAUUAUCCUUAGUUAAAAUAACUCCCUUGUGAACAAACCACAAGAAAACUUUAAUUCUAAGAGGGACCCUAACCUUCCAAAUAUGUAUUGAUUUUGGAAUUGGUACUGAAUCAAUGAGAUCGGAAUACAUGGAUUUAACCGUAAACAACCCAUUUGGUGUUAAUCUCCGAGAUACGAUCACACCUAGCAGAAAUAUUAACCUCCAUUAAUCUUCUAACUAGAUGCAACCAUGAAACCCAUCUAUCCCCAACUAAAGAUCUGCGGAAUUGAAUAUUAAGGGGAAUCUCCCGCAAUACAGCCGCAACUGUCACUUGUCGACGUUGGGCGAUAUGGUACAACCGCGGGUAUUGAACUGCCAGAGGCGAUUCUCCUAACCAGGUGUCUUCUCAGAAUCUAGUCAAUUCCCCAUUUCCAAUGAUGAACCUCAAUCUGUGGUAGAAUGAACUUUUUACCCGCAUUAGACCCUUCCAAAAUGUCGAGUCAAAAGGUCUCGCUUCUACGUGCGAUAAGGAUUUGGAGUGCAGGUACUUGUUUGAGAGAAUUUCCACCCACAAUCCAUCGGUUUCCAUUGACAGUCUAUACAGCCACUUGCUGAGCAGACAUUUAUUUUUAGUUUCCAAAUUUUCAAUACCUAAUCCUCCUUGAUCUUUAGGACGGCAAAUAAUAUCCCAUUUCACCAAUCUAUAUUUAGUCUUAACCUCAUCACUCUGCCAGAAAAAGCGAGAGCGGUAGAAAUCCAAUCUUUUACGUACCCCAACAGGUAUUUCAAAAAAGGAUAGGAGGAACAUAGGCAUACUUGUUAAUACCGAAUUCACCAAGACUAAUCUGCCUCCAUAAGAAAGAAGCUUGCCUUUCCAAGUAGUAAGUUUCUUUUUAAACCGUUCCUCAAUACAUUUCCACUCUGCAUUAGAUAGUUUACGAUGGUGAAUGGGGAUUCCUAAGUACGUAAAAGGAAAUUCCCCUGCCACACAUCCGAACAACUGGUUAUAUAUGUGUUGUUGCUUUUUGGCUUCCCCAAAACAAAACAACUCACUUUUAUUAAAGUUAAUCUUCAACCCAGAUAACUGCUCAAAAAGGCACAAGAUGAGUUUGAGGUUUUUGGCUUUGAGUAAAUCGUGCUCCAUAAAGAGAAUCGUAUCAUCAGCAUAUUGUAGAAUUGAAACUCCCCCAUCCACCAGAUGAGGUACUAAUCCAGAAACAAGGUUUUUUUCGUUAGCUCUCUUGAUCAACAGAGCCAACAUAUCCGCAACGAUAUUGAAGAGAAUGGGAGACAUAGGGUCACCUUGUCUUAGUCCCUUUAGUGUCUGGAAGAAGUGACCAAUAUCAUCAUUGACCUUGAUCCCGACACUCCCUCUUGUGAUAAAGGAAUCUAUGUGUUUUCUCCAAACCUCAUCGAACCCCUUCAUCCACAAUGUUUGUUGCAAGAACGACCAUUUGACUUUGUCAUAUGCCUUUUCAAAAUCCACUUUAAAGAUAACUCCAUCUAGUUUCUUAGAGUGCAUUUCGUGCAGAGUCUCAUGUAGAACCACUACCCCUUCAAGUAUAUUACGCCCAGGCAUAAACGCUGUUUGCGAAGAUAGCACGACAGAGUGUGCCAUCUUCGUUAGUCUAUCCGUUCCAACCUUUGUGAAAUUUUUGAAACUAACAUUAAGCAAACAAAUCGGGCGAAACUGUUCAAUACGAGACGCUCCUUCCUUCUUUGGUAUCAACGUAAUAGUACCAAAAUUCAAAUGGAAUAGUUGGAGAUUACCAGCAUACAAAUCAUCAAACAUAGCCAUAAGGUCCUUCUUAAUGAUGUGCCAGCAGUGUUUGUAAAAUUCUGCCGGAAACCCAUCCGGACCAGGAGCCUUACCACACUUCAAACCUCCUAUCGCAUCUAACACCUCUUUCUCCGAGAAUGGAGCAGAUAAAGACUCAUUAUCAGCCUCCCCAACUUGGGGAAUAUCUGCAACCUGAUACUCGUCCAUAGUCACAAAACUAUCUUGAUGAGCACCAAACAACUGUUUAUAAUAGUUAGAGAUAUAUAAUUUUAGAUUCUCAUGACCAACUAUGGUGCCUUCAUCCUGUUCAAGCUGCACUAUCCUCUUGUUUCUGUGCUUGCCAUUAGCUAUUAAAUGGAAGAACUUAGUGUUAUUAUCCCCAAGAAUAAUAGCUUUAACUUUAGCUCUAUUCGCCCACUUCAUCUCCUCCUCUCUGAGAAGAGAACGAAGCCUUUGUUCCGCCUCAAAUCUUAGUGACGUUCAUCUCCAUCUAAAACAGUGUUCUCUGCUUUUCUAUCCAGCUCAUCGAUAAAGUUUAUGAGCCUAUCUCUCUCAUCUUUAUAUGUCCCCGAGACAUGCUUGGCCCAACCGCGAAGGUACUGUCUCAGGUGUCUGAUUUUAUUUUGCCAACGUUGUAUACUCGUUGAACCGCCCGAUGACCUAUUCCAUUCCCUGUGAACCAGGUCCAUAAAUCCCUCCCUUAAGAACCAACUGGAUUCGAAAGAGAAACUAUCUUUAUUACCCAGAUAUAAUGCAUCCCCAGUAUCCAACAACAAGGGGGUAUGAUCCGAAAUCGCCCUUUGGAGUGCACGAACCGAAACCAAAGGAAACUUCUGUUCCCAGUCCACACUGGUAAGAACUCUAUCUAACUUCUCAAAAGUUUGAUCUGGAAGGGAAUUUGCCCAAGUGAAAUUCCUACCUCUGAGUUAUAUCUCCCGUAGUUCUAGGCUCUCAAUAAUAGUAUUGAACAAGAAUGGCCAUCUACCAUCAAAAUUGCUAUUAUUCUUUUCAUAGGCCCAACGGAUAAUAUUAAAAUCUCCACCAAUCAGUAAAGGCAGUUGUUCAUCGCAGAUGCGAACUAAGUCGGCCAAGAAUUCAGAUUUAAGCUCAGGCUGAGCAGCCCCAUACACCGCUACUAGAGCCCACCUGAAACCAUCCAUUUUGGAUGUAAUCUUGAAUUUCACCGCAAAAUCGCCGAACACUACUUCCCUAACCUGGAGUGUAUCACAUCUAACUCCUAGUAAUAUCCCUCCAGACCUUCCUCUUGGUGGAAGACAGUGCCAAUCAAAAUCAAUCCCUGCUGAGAGGGAGCUCAGAAACUGAGAGGAGAACUUAUCUCUCACAGUCUCUAGGACGGCAAUAAAGUCGAGCUUGUGCUCCGUCGUGGCUUCGGCGAGGAAUCUAGUUUUAGCCAAGUCGCGAAGACCUCUGCUAUUCCAAAAAAUCCCUCUCAUCUUUCAUCAUAGAAUUUCUUAGCAGUCUUAAAGCGUGCACUCCUACGAAUAGCAGAGACCGGAUAAACUUUCCUAUUCCAGGCCCGUUUAAUUUUCUGCCCUUGACCCUGGUCCAUAUAACCGUGAUCAUCGGAGUCAUUAUGACCAACACCCUCCUCACCUACAGUGUUAUCAAGAACCGAAUCCUGACCUUCAUUAAGCUCAUCUAUGGGGUAUAGAUUCUGACAUAAAGAAUUCAGCCCCCAAGGUUAGAAAUCUCUACAUCUGUCAUUAGUUUAACCGCAGCUAAAUUCCUAACGAUAUCCAACACCCUAUCAACCUCUAGGUCUAAUAAUUCAUUAAUAGAUUUCGCAACUUCUGCAUUCGUAUUACCAAGCGAGACCCCAAUGGCUGACGCUUUUUCAAUAAUUUCAGGAGAUGAAAACUGCAAAAUAGAAUGCUCCAAAUUAACCGACAUACCUGUUGACGAUUCAGCAUCCUUCAAUUUUGCAAUCCUAGAUGCCCGAUCCAUCUGCCAAUCAUCCGCAUCUGGCUGGCUCUGAAUCCGGUCGCUAACCCUCCGGUCCGACGUCACAGGAUCUGGAAUACCCCCAAACUGUAUGACCGCUUCCUCAGAGAUAAAGGUAUGAGGUGUCUCCAUCAGCGGGGCCGCCGAAGAAUCGGCGACCAUAGUCCCUGCCUGGGUGGAUAAACUAGAAAAUCUAGAAACCUCCUGCACUGACCCCAUACUCGGCACAGACAGUGCUGUCCUAUCAUCCUCCCGUCUGACCUGCAGCAGGUAACGAUCCAGAGAAAUCGGCUGUAGACCCACAACCGGGGAGGAAGGUUGUGCCGAUGCCCCAGCAACUUGCUUCCCAAAGGACCUCUUCAUCUGUGAAUCGCCGAGUCUGAACGGCACCGCGUCUGGCAGGAAUGAACCAAAGCGUAGCUGAGCCCCUGGAGUCACACCCCCUGUUGCCGGCUCAGUCUCCCCCUCCUUCGAAUCCAGUGCAGCCGACCCAGAAGCAGUAUGAGGCUAAGAAGGAAAUUGUCCCUUAUCUGCAUUACCAGCACCGGAAUCCCCGUCCAUGUCCGGCAUGUCAAUGUCAGGGUCCAUCGCUGUGUGAACAGCUGCCGAUGGAAUCUCAAUCUCAAGACGUAGGGUAAAUCUCUUACCCUCAAAAAUCCAAAGUACUUCCUCCGGAAACAGUGCACUAUCUAGAACACUCACUAACAACCGAACCGCUCCAUUAGCCCGAGUGAACACCAUAUCCACUUGCUCCGUUUUACCAAUUAGAGAGCCAAAACUCCAAGCCACAGUAAAAUCAUUAACUGCCUUAGACGGAGCACCAUAAAAGCGAACCCAGACCUGGUCCAGAGGCACCCCUUGAGGCUCAUCAUCUGCCCAAACAUCAAACUCCAGAAUACAACUCGUGCUAGGAACUCUGCACAUACCAAAUUUGAGUAGACGGGCCAGAUCUUCUUUAGAAGGAAAGACGACCUUAAAGACAGAAUCCGAAAUCGCAAUCGGCUCCCACCUAAAAGUAGCUGACACCAGAUCUCGUAGCUGUUGCACCACCUGGUCAACAGUCAUCUUACCACUGGCAACGGUGAUCUUGCCUAUAAGAGCUACAUCUGGCGUAUGUGUCGAAGUGGAAAUCGCAGGGGACUCGAAGAACAUCAACUCCUCAGAACAUACCCCAUAGAUAUUCAUAACGGGCAUCGGUCCCUUCAUCAGAGGACAUGAGGAUGAACCAUGCGCUGGCUUAAGACAAAGCUCACAGAGCACCGCCGAGCACUCAGACACAAAGUGCCCAUUCUCACCACAACGACAACACGUCAUCUUUUCCUUCUUACGCGCCCACUUAGUUGGACGAUCUGCCCCUUCUAUCCGUGGAGGUCCAAUAUCUUUGUCUACACCCACAGUAGAUGGUACACCUCCAAUGGUCGCAAUUAAUGGAAUAUCAGCAGGCUUCUGCGUUGACUCCUUGUCAGCAGCAACAGGACCCGCAUUGGGCGGUAAUCCCCUACCACCACCACGACCUCCCCACCGUCCUCUAUAUCCACCUCUCUUGGGACCUGCUGGACCUGGAACGAAAUUACCAUAAGGACCCGAAAAACCCUGUCCAGAACCGGCAUUAGAUUGCCAAGCAUAUCCUCGGCCUCCCCCUUGUGACGACGAACCACGAUGCUGACCAGCUCCAUACGCAUUGACCCCAUCGUCUCCCCAUCGUCCGCGGGGUUGCAUGCGAUUAAAAUUAGCCCCAGCUUGCCCUCCUGACUCGGCCGAUCUAGGAACAGCCUGACCAUCACCCGCCCCUGCCUUAACCGCCGCUGGAACCGGGUUAGGAGGCAUCCGAGGUGCCGGUCCUCGGCUACCGGAGACCUGCUGCGAGGCCGCCUGAACACCGCCCGCUCCUGCCUUAGCCGCCGCUGGGACCGAGGUAGGAGGCAGCCGAGGUGCCGGUCCUCGGCUACCGGAAACCUGCUGCGAGGCCGCCGUCGCCCGCUGUUGCGACUGAGCUGGGACUUGUCUGCCGGACAUCUGCGAGGCCGUCGGCGCCCGCUGUUGCGACCGUGCUGGGACAUCUCUGCCGGACAUCACGAGCGACCUAGUGUAAGGGACUCGCGGCGCCCGCGUGAUUUUCUGUCUAGGGAAUCCGACCCUGGGCUGCUUUAAAAAGACCCGAGCAGCCGAGUCCCGGCCAACGUUGCUAUCCGGCUGGAGUCCCUCCUGCGGACGCAACGAGUUCGUAUCGAACUUGGCCUCAACAUGCUGUACCGCAUUACAGGAAACCUCAUGGCAGUGUUGACGAGUCUCAUCGGGCCACCUGGAGGCCGUCUGGGACGUGCUGGACUUGGUAUCCACCUGCUGAAUCUCCUGUCCAACAACCGAGAACGACUCGGAUUGAGCAUCGGCCCGAUCAGCAACAGGCAAUACACCCUCCUGCCCAACAACCAAAAUCGAGUCGGACUGAACAUCGGCCCGAUCGGCACCAUGCACUACAGCAGAUUUUCCUUCCUUCUGGCAGUCUUCUCGGGCAUCAUCGGGUCGCCUAGAACCCGGCUGGGCCAUAUACCCAGUCUGCAGUUCUAAUUUCGGCACCUGACCCAUCCCGUCCGCUCCAAUUGCUGCCGCGAGAAACGCCUCCCGUACAGCUCCUGUGGACUGCAUCACCAGCGGCACAUGCGUCGCAUUCGGCAGUCUACGCUGUCGUCGGCUCCUUCCCACGGGCCAACUACCCGGAACAAGAAAAUCAGAAAGUAAAAUUGGACUCCUACUAACCUUAGGAAGUGGCCUAAUCCAAGGUUUAGGCCUCGGAACAUCCAUCUUCUUCCUCGGUAAAUGAAAAUCUCGCUGGAUCUUGCACUCCACCGAUAUCCCAUCAGGCGAUGCUAGAGAAACCGGAGAAUGUACCGGAGAAGAAGGAGGAAUCUCUUCCUCAAUGUCUGUGUCGGAAUUGUAAUCUGCAAGAACCCAGAAUUUUCCACCUACCCGGGGAGGAGCCGAAGCAUUCUUCACCUCAAAAUCCCCCUCGAAGUGAUCAGGUUUAAUGAGCAGAACUAAAAGACCAUCCAUCUCUAAUUCUAGUCCAAUCCUGAGAUCCUGAUACAUGAGAUAUGAGCCUGCAAAAAUAUCUCCCUCGGCAUCUCGAAUCGUAGCCCACCCAGAAGAAAGAUGAACAACUAGCGAUCCACGCUGAUCUACCUUAGAUACAUCCUUAGAGAUCGAGAAACUCACCUCCCAGAUAAGAUGAACACCUGCAGAACAGCCUCGUGAAAAAUCAGUACAUACCUUGGUAUCGCGGGACGUCUGCCUCGGCUUCGCCAAGGGUCUUGUCGACGACAGGAACCUCCCCACCACCUCCUUGAACACCAGGGUCGACGGAAACCAAAGUAGAGGGCCGCUUGGCUCCGGCGCCGUCCUGCUGAUCUCCCGGAUCAUCACUUGACAGGGGAGAAAAUUUGUCCACCACCUGGUCGCGGGCAGCGCCAGAGAUCUUGACCUGAGACCCGAUCUCGCCGAGCCCCCCCNN